AGUGAACGCUGGCGGUAGGCCUAACACAUGCAAGUCGAACGGCAGCACAGUAAGAGCUUGCUCUUACGGGUGGCGAGUGGCGGACGGGUGAGGAAUACAUCGGAAUCUACUUUUUCGUGGGGGAUAACGUAGGGAAACUUACGCUAAUACCGCAUACGACCUACGGGUUAAAGCAGGGGAUCUUCGGACCUUGCGCGAUUGAAUUAGCCGAUGUCGGAUUAGCUAGUUGGCGGGGUAAAGGCCCACCAAGGCGACGAUACGUAGCUGGUCUGAGAGGAUGAUCAGCCACACUGGAACUGAGACACGGUCCAGACUCCUACGGGAGGCAGCAGUGGGGAAUAUUGGACAAUGGGCGCAAGCCUGAUCCAGCCAUACCGCGUGGGUGAAGAAGGCCUUCGGGUUGUAAAGCCCUUUUGUUGGGAAAGAAAAGCAGCAGGUUAAUACCCCGAUGUUCUGACGGUACCCAAAGAAUAAGCACCGGCUAACUUCGUG
RNAcentral lists this ribosomal RNA (492 nucleotides) under uncultured bacterium. Its description in RNAcentral is "partial 16S ribosomal RNA". It matches the Rfam family "Bacterial small subunit ribosomal RNA", at positions 29 to 507 of the family's 1533-position model. The record is from RNAcentral.